Molecule: ribosomal RNA, 465 nt
Filed under: Vreelandella stevensii
Lineage: Bacteria; Pseudomonadati; Pseudomonadota; Gammaproteobacteria; Oceanospirillales; Halomonadaceae
Description: partial 16S ribosomal RNA
Rfam family: Bacterial small subunit ribosomal RNA
Source: RNAcentral
CCUACGGGCGGCUGCAGUGGGGAAUAUUGGACAAUGGGCGAAAGCCUGAUCCAGCCAUGCCGCGUGUGUGAAGAAGGCCUUCGGGUUGUAAAGCACUUUCAGUGGGGAAGAAAGCCUUGGGGCUAAUACCCUCGAGGAAGGACAUCACCCACAGAAGAAGCACCGGCUAACUCCGUGCCAGCAGCCGCGGUAAUACGGAGGGUGCGAGCGUUAAUCGGAAUUACUGGGCGUAAAGCGCGCGUAGGCGGUCUGAUAAGCCGGUUGUGAAAGCCCCGGGCUCAACCUGGGAACGGCAUCCGGAACUGUCAGGCUAGAGUGAAGGAGAGGAAGGUAGAAUUCCCGGUGUAGCGGUGAAAUGCGUAGAGAUCGGGAGGAAUACCAGUGGCGAAGGCGGCCUUCUGGACUGACACUGACGCUGAGGUGCGAAAGCGUGGGUAGCAAACAGGAUUAGAUACCCGAGUAGUC